RNAcentral lists this transfer-messenger RNA (372 nucleotides) under Mycobacteriaceae. RNAcentral describes it as "Rhodococcus fascians_E Standard tmRNA". It matches the Rfam family "transfer-messenger RNA". From Rfam's summary of the family: Bacterial tmRNA, also known as 10Sa RNA or SsrA, is named for its dual tRNA and mRNA-like properties. Its role is to liberate the mRNA from a stalled ribosome. The record is from RNAcentral. Lineage: Bacteria; Bacillati; Actinomycetota; Actinomycetes; Mycobacteriales. RNAcentral also lists the same sequence under 6 other names.
GGGGCUGAACGGUUUCGACUCUGUAUGUUGAGUCAGGGGAAGCGUGUCGGUGCAGGCGAGAGACCACCGUAAGCGUCAUCGCAAACAUAUAAGCGCCGAUUCCAAUCAGCGCGACUACGCACUCGCUGCCUAAGUAGCGACUGGCGUGUCUGUCAGUCCGGGUUCGCCCUCGACCCGGGUACUGGCAUCAGCUAGAGGGCUUACCGAUUCACUCGGCCACGGAGUGAUGAGGAACAUCAAACAGUGGCUGGGAUCGUCAUCCUGGCUUGUUUGCGAGAUCAGGAGAUCCAAGUAGAGGCAUAGCAGACUGCACACGGAGAAGCCCUGGUGAUACAGCGGAGGACCCGGGUUCGAUUCCCGGCAGCUCCACCG